CAGCAGCCACGGGAAUACGGAGGGAGCUAGCGUUGUUCGGAAUUACUGGGCGUAAAGCGCACGUAGGCGGUUAUUCAAGUCAAAGGUGAAAGCCCGGGGCUCAACCCCGGAACUGCCUUUGAAACUAGAUGACUGGAAUCUUGGAGAGGUCAGUGGAAUUCCGAGUGUAGAGGUGAAAUUCGUAGAUAUUCGGAAGAACACCAGUGGCGAAAGCACUCUGCUGGGCCGACACUGACACUGAGAGACGAAAGCUAGGGGAGCAAAUGGGAUUAGAUACCCCGGUAGUCCCUGUCUCUUAUAC
RNAcentral lists this ribosomal RNA (301 nucleotides) under uncultured bacterium. Its description in RNAcentral is "partial 16S ribosomal RNA". It matches the Rfam family "Bacterial small subunit ribosomal RNA", at positions 509 to 807 of the family's 1533-position model. The record is from RNAcentral.